GUCAGAUCCACUUGACCACUUCCCAUCCGCCUUGUCCUUGCCCUAGUGGGUUUAUUCAUUCUCGUCCGCGUUAUUGCGUAGUCGGAUCGAUGGUUACCCGCCUACAGACACUCCCUGCUUACUUUAUACCACCAAUUAAUGAUACCCAAAUUUCCUUUCUUAUAUCAUAUAAUUAUAUACGCUGGACUUUAUAGAGGCAUGCUUCGUGUUUUCUGCUUGAAAGUGCGCAGGACGGGAGAGGCUGUAAUUCAGUGGGUAAAGCAGGGAAUGACAUUGAUACAAUAGCUGCUACUUAGAUGUAAACCAAACCCAAGGAAGUGAAAAAUGCUAGACUAGAGAAAGGACCAGGAGAAUAAGAAAAAUGAGAAGCAUACACUAGUUCGUCAGAUUGCCUCUGCAGUAUGUAAUUUAUGGAUGCAAUUUCAAGGAAUUCCUAGUUUUCUCAUGAUUUCCUUGCGGGUAGAACAUCUAUAAGGAUGGUUCCUGGAAAGCAUGAAGAGCCAGCGAUGGUGAUGGAUACCAACUACCAACUGGUUGUUUGUAUUUAGUCACAAUGUUAUCCUCUGCUACUUUAUACUUCAAUUAUCAUCAUUGAGCUGUGUCCAUGUUGGCCUCUGGUUAGUUUAUUAGCAAGUCCAUCUCAGCUAAACUUAAAGAAACGGCAAGUAGCUGGACCAUCUGCUAUUGUCUUGACCUGCUGUUUGGGGAUUUCUGCCUCAUUCUCUUGCAACACAACAUUAUUAGCUCCUACGGUCUGCAACCUUGCCUCGUCUCUGUGCCGGCUCCUACAACUCUGCUUCCCACUUCUACAUCCGUGUGUUCAUCCACUGCUAUAUUCAUUGGUUAUUUCUACAUCCAUUCCAGAAACACUUUCGAUUGCUCGUCUAUCGAUUUUCAGCUUUCUUAUUCAUCACUGUGUCUAGAAGCAAUUCUGGUUCUAUCUUCAGUUUAUUCAACCCAAAAAGUAAACCCUGCAACCCAAUGGAAGUGGCGUUAGCUAGCGCUGCCUUAAGCGUUAGCUUGAAAUUGGCUGCAUCACCUGUCUUGAAGAAGCUCCUUGCUGAUGCUUCAACCUACCUCGACGUGCACAUGGCCCAUGAGCUCCACGAACUGGAGACAAUUAUCUUGCCACAGUUCGAGUUGUUGAUUGAAGCAGCAGACAAGGGAAACCACAGGCCCAAGUUGGACAAAUGGCUUCAGGAACUCAAAGAAGGCUUCUACCUGGCUGAAGACUUGUUGGACGAGCAUGAGUACAACCUCCUCAAGCGCAAAGCAAAGGGGAAGGAUUCCAUGCCGGCCACCAUCAACAAAGCUUUUAUGAAGCCUCUGCAUUCUGUAACAAGCAGGUUGUCCAAUCUGAGCUCUGAGAACAGAAAGCUAAUUUGCCAUCUGAAGGAGCUGAAGGCUACCCUUGGGAAAGCCAAGGACUUCCAUCAAUUGCUAUCCUUACCAGCUGGUUGUGGUUAUAAUGGAGAGAGCCCCGCCAAAACAUCAGCUGCUGUUCCCGAGACCACAUCAAUACCACCUCUGAGAGUGAUUGGCCGUGAUAAGGACCGUGAUCACAUAAUAGAUCGACUUACCAAGACAACUGCUUCUACCGAGUCUAGUAUAUCUAUGUACUCAGGUUUGGCCAUUGUAGGAGCAGGAGGCAUGGGGAAGUCCACCUUAGCACAACAUGUUUUCAAUGACAAGAGGAUAAAAGAAUAUUUUGAUGUAACAAUGUGGGUAAGUAUCUCACGCAAACUUGAUGUCCGUCAUCAUACACGGGAGAUCAUUGAGUCUGCCUCUCAGGGGGAAUGCCCACACAUUGAUAACCUUGAUACAUUGCAACGUAAGUUGUUUGACAUACUGCAAGAAUCAGGGAAAUUCCUGCUUGUGUUGGAUGAUGUUUGGUUUGAACCUGGCAGCGAGAGGGAAUGGGAGAAUCUGUUAGCUCCUCUACUCUCCCAACAGAAGGGAAGCAAAGUUUUGGUGACUUCUCGACGGGAUACAUUUCCAGCUGCUCUUUACUGUGUAGAAGUGUGUCCUCUAGAAAACAUGGAAGAUGCAUAUUUCUUGGCACUCUUCAAACACCAUGCUUUCUCUGGACCAGAAAUUGGAAAUCUGCAGUUGCGUGGAAGGCUGGAAGAUUUUGCUGAGAAGAUUGCUAAAAGGCUUGGACAAUCUCCUUUGGCGGCCAAAGUUGUGGGUUCCCAGUUGAAAGGGAUAACAAACAUAUCUACAUGGAAGGAUGCUCUAACUUUGAUGAUUGACAAAUCAAGUGAGCCUAUGACAGCACUGUUGUGGAGUUAUGAGAAGUUAGAUCCUUGUGUGCAGAGGUGCUUCCUAUAUUGCAGCUUGUUCCCGAAAGGCCACAAGUAUGUCAUCAAUGAGUUGGUUCAUCUUUGGAUGGCAGAGGGCCUCAUUGAUUCGUGCAACCAAAAGAAGAGAGUGGAAGAUAUUGGGAGGGAUUGCUUCAAGGAGAUGAUCUCUGUUUCGUUCUUUCAAAUGGUUGAUAAGAAAUUCGGUUGCACAUACUAUGUUAUGCAUGAUCUCCUUCAUGAUCUGGCAGAAUCACUCUCCACGGAGGACUACUUCAGGUUGGAAGAUGAUAAGGUGACAGAAAUACCAACCACAGUUCGACAUAUAUCCGUCCGUGUUGAUAGUAUGAUGCAACACAAGCAAAGUAUAUGCAUGCUACAUCAUUUACGCACUAUUAUCUGCAUAGACCCCCUAAUGGAUGAUGUAAGUGACAUUUUUAAUCAGAUAAUACGGAAUUUGAAGAAGUUGCGCGUCCUAUAUCUGUCAUCUUACACCAGUAGUAAGUUGCCAGAAUCUGUUGGUGAGUUGAAGCACCUUCGAUAUUUAAACAUCAUAAGAACACUGAUUUCCGAAUUUCCAAGAUCUUUGUGUACUCUUUACCACUUGCAGCUACUUCUGGUAAAUGAUAUAGUUGAGAGUUUCCCUGAGAAACUCUGCAAUUUAAGGAAGUUACGACAUCUUGACUCGAAUGAUUACCGAACAAACGAGCGGAAAGCACCGCCUCAAAUUCCUCACAUUGGCAAGCUAACUUCACUUCAACAAGUUCAGAAAUUUUCUGUGCAAAAGAAAAUGGGAUAUGAAUUGCUACAGCUGAGGGAUAUGAAUGAGAUCUGUGGCAGUUUAAGUGUCACAAAUCUUGAGAAUGUCACUGGGAAAGAUGAAGCAUUAGAAUCGAAGUUGCAUCAAAAAAGUCAUCUUGGUAGCUUGCGACUUGAAUGGUGUUGCCAGAAUAACACCAAUGCAGAGGAUAGUUUACAUUUGGAGAUUUUGGAAGGCCUGAUGCCCCCGCCUCAACUUGAGAAUCUUACAAUUGACGGUUACAAUUCUUCAAAAUAUCCAGGUUGGUUACUUGAUGGUUCGUAUUUUGAGAAUUUAGAAUCUUUGAGGUUUGAAAAUUGCAGCGCAUUACAAGGCCUACCAUCCAACACUGAGCUAUUUGAGAAUUGCUCUUCACUUACCCUCUUCAAUGUGCCAAACCUGAAGACAUUACCUUGUCUUCCACUGGGCCUUACAUGGUUAGGAAUAUCCAACUGCCCACUGCUUAUAUUUGUUUCCAAUGAUGAGCUGGAACAUCGAGAACAGAGCGAGAAUAUCAUGCGUAUAGACCACUUGGCGUCACAACUUGGUUUACUCUGGGAGGUGGAUUCAGGAUCAGAUAUUAGGAGAAUACUCUCAUCGGAACAUUCAUUUCUGAAGCAGCUGAUGAUAUUGAUGCAUGCUGAUGUCUCACGUGUUCAUGACCUUGGAAGUGUCCUUGGAAGAAGGAAAAAGAAAGUGGUUAAAGAGGAUAUCAUCAACGCAUGGAUAAACUGUCACAAGCAGAUGAUGAGUCUCGUGCAUGGAAGGAGCAUUAGGCUGCCACUGGUUCCACCAUCGGGGCUUCGUGGGCUUUCUCUUUCUUCAUGCAGUAUUACAGAUGAAGCUCUAGCUGUUUGCCUUGAUGGCCUCACUUCACUGAAUAGUUUGUUCUUACAAAAAAUUAUGACUUUAACCACACUUCCUUCAGAAGAGGUCCUCCAACAUUUGACAAAACUUCGCCGCUUGAACAUCAUAAGUUGCUGGUGUCUCAGGUCAUUAGGGGGUUUACGAGCUGCUACCUCUCUUUCAGAUGUUAACUUGAAUUCAUGCCCUUCUUUAGAGUUGGCAAAUGGAGCAGAAUGUUUACCGUUAUCUCUUGAGAGGCUCAGUAUAUGGUAUUGCGUGCUUGCAGCUGACUUCUUCUGUGCUGACUGGCCACACAUGAAUGGUAUUUCCAUAUACAAUUGCAGAAGCAGCGCAUGCUUAUCUGUUGGUAGUCUCACAUCUGUUGAAUCAUUCACACUAUAUCAUUUGCCAGAUUUAUGUACGCUCGAAGGAUUGUCUUCCCUCCAACUUCACCACGUACAUUUGAUUGAUGUUCCGAAACUCACGCCUGAGUGUGUCUCGCAGUUUCGAGUCCAGAAGUCACUCUAUGUUAGCAGUCCUGUAAUACUCAACAAUGUGCUCUCGUCUGAAGGUUCCAUCGUUCCAGAAUUUCUCUCUCUUGAAGGAUGCAAGGAACCAUUUGUUUCAUUGGAAGAAUCUGCAAAUUUCACAUUAGUCAAGACCCUGAGAUUCUGUGGUUGUCGGAUGAUUUCCCUGCCAACAAAUCUGAAGUCCUUCUCCAAUCUGAAGAGGCUCGAUAUUUAUAGCUGCCCCAGCAUAUCAUCUUUACCAGAUUUGCCAUCCUCCCUCCAGCACAUAAGUGUAUGGUAUUGUAGUGAGCUCUUGAAGGAGAACUGCCGAGCACCUGAUGGAGAAAGUUGGCCAAAGAUCGCGCAUAUCCGCUGGAAGGAAUUUAGAGAUAAACUGAUUUAGAUUUCCACCUACAAAUAAACUGAAAGGUAAAUGAGCUCCCAUCGGCCACCUAUGCACCCUCAAAGAUGCGUAAGAUGUGUGCUGUCCAGCAGCAACCUGUUACGAGAUGCAGUGCCCAAGGCCGGCUCAUCUUAGAGUUCACCCGUGUCUCCUUCACCAGCUAGCCAGUGCCAAUCUCCUGCUUCGCUGACGGCUGAUCUGCCUCACGCUUUGCCCUCUCGCAUUCCACCACCUCCUGUCCUCUGGUGCCACCGUCACUAACGGUGGAUUAUGUACCUGUGUUGCCAGUUACCAUUUUGUUCAUGAUAUUAUUCAUUGCUGAAAGUAUUGUCUAAUUUGCAUCUCCUUAUUGUCGGCCUGUUCUGCCAGCCUCUCAUUGAGUAUGUAGUACGGUUCGUGUGUAUGGAUUGUAAUUCUACCACCUCCUGGACCACCUCCUGUCCUCUGGUGCCACUAUUAUUAAUGGUUGUUUUUAUAAAUGUGUUGUUGGUUAUCUUUUUCGUCAUG
Molecule: RNA transcript, 5364 nt
Organism: Triticum aestivum (bread wheat)
Lineage: Eukaryota; Viridiplantae; Streptophyta; Magnoliopsida; Poales; Poaceae
Gene name: putative disease resistance RPP13-like protein 1
Exons: 4
Source: RefSeq, a predicted model, not a curated record